AGGGAGAGAGAUUUGGGUGGAUACAAAGGAUAUGGAGUAGUGAUGGGUUGCCGCCAAGAUUGUCCUAUACUAUGCUUCCAUGCUUCCGACAUUUGGAUCAAUCCUUAAAAGACAGACCCAUCUUGUAGAUCAAUAUCAUAUCACUUAGGGGAUGUAACGAUCUAACGGUGGGGGAUGUUUUCUAUGAAUCUAGUUUGUGGAUUGAUGUAGAGUUUAAUAUGGCAAUGUUACUAUGUAAUAGUAAAAAUCAGGACAUGGCUCAGUCCCUAAAGAGCCUUCCAAGGACCGGCCUAGCUAUGACCAAACCGUCAUAUCUCAUAUCCAUCAGUUGUUUUUGUCGUUGUUGACAUAUUAACCGCAAACCGACUCGUAG
Arabidopsis thaliana (thale cress) is the source of this 373-nucleotide long non-coding RNA. RefSeq annotates it as other RNA. The transcript has a single exon. The record is from RefSeq. NCBI's taxonomy places the organism in Eukaryota, Viridiplantae, Streptophyta, Magnoliopsida, Brassicales, Brassicaceae.